Molecule: non-coding RNA, 72 nt
Organism: Podarcis lilfordi (Lilford's wall lizard)
Lineage: Eukaryota; Metazoa; Chordata; Lepidosauria; Squamata; Lacertidae
Source: the annotation of a GenBank genome assembly
CAGCUCAGUCGGUAGAGCAUGAGGCUCUUAAUCUCAGGGCCAUAGGUUCAAGCCCCAACAUUGGGCAAAAGA